RNAcentral lists this long non-coding RNA (530 nucleotides) under Chrysemys picta bellii (western painted turtle). RNAcentral's name for it is "lncRNA (ENSCPBG00000010736.1)". Lineage: Eukaryota; Metazoa; Chordata; Testudines; Emydidae. The record is from RNAcentral.
UCUGUUUCUGUUACUUUUUCUUGUGAUCACUGAACUUCCGCUUUCCUCUCUCUUCACAAGAAAUUUUUUAGAAUUAGAGACAAAACCAAGAAGAGGAAACCUUUGCAACCCUUCCUCUCAGAAGAAUGUAUUUUUUGGUGAUCCUGGCUUUUCUAGGACGAAUUACUGGUGAGACUUUCUUUCAUCAUUAUGAAAAUGGAAAUUUCACACUUACGUGCAAUGAAACAGUGGCUAAUGGGAAGAAGGAAACAGUUUGGUAUGAAACUGGAGAAUCUCUGCAAGAAUUCCAAGUAAUCAACUACUGCAGUAAUCAACAGCCCAAAGUAAUCAACGGACCAAACAAAUGCUCUGAUAAAACAAAGUGUACAAACCAAUUAUCAUAUUCUGCUUCCAAAGGUGGUGGGGUAUUUGCAUGUGAGCAAUUUACAAAUACUGGAACAUCACAGACUUGCCCACUCUUUACCAUUGUGGCUCACUGCAGACAUUAUACCUUUUUUAUCGUGGUGAUAAUAAACAUGACUGCAGGUGAG